This 494-nucleotide ribosomal RNA is filed under the name uncultured bacterium. RNAcentral's name for it is "partial 16S ribosomal RNA". It matches the Rfam family "Bacterial small subunit ribosomal RNA", at positions 28 to 507 of the family's 1533-position model. The record is from RNAcentral.
GACGAACGCUGGCGGCGCGCUUAACACAUGCAAGUCGAACGGAAAGGCCUGCUUUCCCUUGUGGAUUGCGGGUACUCGAGUGGCGAACGGGUGAGUAACACGUGAGUGAUCUGCCCCCAACUUGGGUAUAAGCCUGGGAAACUGGGUCUAAUUCCCGAUAGGACUGCAGGGUGGUGCCUGUGGUGGAAAACGAUUUUCUAGUGGUUGGGGAUGAGCUCGCGGCCUAUCAGCUUGUUGGUGGGGUAAUGGCCUACCAAGGCGGCGACGGGUAGCCGGCCUGGGAGGGUGGACGGCCACAUUGGGACUGGGAUACGGCCCCGACGCCUACGGGAGGCAGCAGUGGGGAAUAUUGCACAAUGGGCGGAAGCCUGAUGCAGCGACGCCGCGUGGGGGAUGACGGCCUUCGGGUUGUAAACUCCUUUCGACCGCGAGGAAGCCACCUGGUUGGAAGGGUGGUGACGGUAGUGGUAGAAGAAGCACCGGCUAACUACGUG